AUGUUUCCGGGCACGAACCAGACCGCGGCGCACGGGCCAGCGCGCGGCGUCCACUACGACCAAGGGCAGGAAUACGCCGUCAAGCCACCCAAGCACGACUUUCCGCGCUUCGAUGGCGACGCGCCCAGCCUCUGGAUCGACCGGUGCCUCGCCUACUUCGACCUGUACCGCAUUCCGCCGCACACAUGGGUCACCACGGCGUCGCUCUACAUCGAGGGCCAUGCCGCACACUGGCUGCAAGCGUUUCGCCAUGGCCAUCGGUCCUCUACUUGGGAGGAGUUCACAACGGCGUUGAUCAGUGAAUUUGGUCCAAACGAAUUCGAGGUGGAAAUGCAUAAACUGCUGCAGCUUCGUCAGAGCGGCAGCGUGGCAGAAUAUCGGACAGAAUUUGAAGCUCUCAUGUAUCAUUUGCUCGCCCUCGACGCGACUCUCAACCCGAAGAUCUUCGUCACGCAGUUCCUGCUCGGAUUGCGUGAUGAUUUGCGGUCUGCAGUUCGCCUUCAGGAACCUUCGAGCAUCACACGUGCGGUUGUCCUGGCCAGGAUAAUGGAGGAAGAAGCCGGAGUGCAACGAUCGCGCCCGCGCAUUGCUCCAGCGGGUCACCCGCUGCCUCCCCCGCUACCACCACAAUGA
This 633-nucleotide ribosomal RNA is filed under the name Triticum aestivum (bread wheat). RNAcentral describes it as "partial small subunit ribosomal RNA". Lineage: Eukaryota; Viridiplantae; Streptophyta; Magnoliopsida; Poales; Poaceae. The record is from RNAcentral.